RNA transcript from Rosa rugosa (rugosa rose), 1616 nucleotides. It is a transcript of the gene named F-box protein CPR1-like, with no coding region annotated. Lineage: Eukaryota; Viridiplantae; Streptophyta; Magnoliopsida; Rosales; Rosaceae. The record is from RefSeq and is a predicted model, not a curated record. The transcript has 3 exons.
AGCACAGCGAGAUACGACAGCGUUUCAUUUGGGUCAUGUAAAUUUCGCAUAAACCCGGAACCCACAGGAAGCUAAACCCAUCAUUUCUUUGCACAGAGCCGUCAGAGCGACCGAGCCAAUUUGCAAAUGGCGGAUUCCUUACCCGAAGACGUGAUAGUUCGAAUCCUGGAGAGGUUGCCGAUCAAAUCCCUGAUCCGCUUCACCUGCGUUUCGAAACGCUGGCGUUUCAUCAUACUCUGUGACCCAGAAUUCGCCAAGGCCCAAUUCCAAAUAGCUUCUCACCACCAAACCCUCCGUCACAGGCUCCUCAUCUCCACCGCCUGUGAAUCUGAAUUCAACUCACUAGACUUGGAUGCGCCGCCGUCCCCGUCGGGAUACAAUUCUUCAGUUAGGUGCCCAUUCACGCAACCGGGGGGCCAUCCUGUCAGACUACUGUGCUCCUGCAAAGGUUUGAUACUUGCACUUGUUUGUAAUCAAGAAAACGACAUGUAUAUCUGGAACCCAUCAAGUCAAUUCUUCAAAAAAUUACCUGACCCAGCUGAUCUUCCCUCAAAAACUUGUCUGCCCUGCUAUGGUUUUGGCUAUUUGUCGGCCACUGACGACUACAAAGUUAUUGCCAGCUUCAAAGUCAGUGUUGCUGAUGAUGAGAUGGAGGAGAAUGGCAGCAGCAAGGAAAUGCACAUCUUCUCAUCAAAAGCCAACACUUGGAAAAGGACUGAAGCCCCUCUCGACUUCGACUUCGACUUCUACUCCGACUCUGAUUUUGGGGGGACUCUUUCAAAUGAGGCACUUCAUUGGCUGGAUGACGAGGACGACGGACCUGGCAUCUUUGCUUUUGAUCUAGCAAAGGAGGAGUUCCAAAGAAUGCCGCUGCCUAUUCUACUAGAUGGUGAGGUUUCGUAUCUCAGGGCUUUCCGAGACUCUCUGUGUGUGUUUGAUUUUGAAAAUCUUGUUCCUGCUAGCUCCAUUGAUUUGUGGGUGAUGCAAAAAUAUGGCGUGGCUGACUCAUGGACCAACCUCUUUAACUUCAAGGUUUCCAAUCAGCUUGGGGACAUAUAUUAUUGUUUGCCAGUCUCGGUAAUGGAAACUAGUACAUUUCUGCACAAAGUGACUAGAUUCCGUGAUGGGAAUUUUAUAGAUUUGAUAAGGAUUGGUCAUACGGAACAGAAGCCUGAAAUGCAUAUGUUGAGCAGGAAUACAGGUCUCAUGGAAAUGAUUGAAUAUGAAGAGACUCUACUUUGGCUUGGUUGUGACUUUUAAGUGGCUAUAAAGCCAUCACCACACUUUGAUAUGUUCAUGCUUUAGUCUGUGUUUGUGCUUGCUAUGAACCGCAUUAGGGAGCAAAGGCUAUUGCCUCUUUUGAAACAGAGAAAGCGCACAUGGCAUUCGCUACUGCCCCUUAAAUAGAAGGAAGGCAAAGGCAAGUCUGUGGACCGGAUGAAGUGGAUGCGUCUUGAAGAACCCUAGAGUACACUGUUGCAAGCAAGGUGCCAUUUAGUGAUAACAAAAUAUUCUCCUGGCAUAUUGUAAUUAGAGGUCAAGUAGCCUCGUCUGUCUCUAACUCUGAUAUAUAAUAUUUUUCAUUUACAUGAAAAUGAUAUGUUAUUACCUUGUUA